GAAAGCCUGUCUCAGUUCGGAUUGGAGUCUGCAACUCGACUCCAUGAAGCUGGAUUCGCUAGUAAUCGCGCAUCAGCCAUGGCGCGGUGAAUACGUUCCCGGGCCUUGUACACACCGCCCGUCAAGCCAUGGGAGCCGGGGGUGCCUGAAGUACGUGACCGCGAGGAGCGUCCUAGGGCAAAACUGGUGACUGGGGCUAAGUCGUAACAAGGUACC
This 216-nucleotide ribosomal RNA is filed under the name uncultured bacterium. RNAcentral's name for it is "partial 16S ribosomal RNA". It matches the Rfam family "Bacterial small subunit ribosomal RNA", at positions 1277 to 1500 of the family's 1533-position model. The record is from RNAcentral.